RNAcentral lists this ribosomal RNA (402 nucleotides) under uncultured bacterium. RNAcentral's name for it is "bacterial SSU rRNA". It matches the Rfam family "Bacterial small subunit ribosomal RNA", at positions 355 to 774 of the family's 1533-position model. The record is from RNAcentral.
UCGGGAAUUUUGGGCAAUGGGCGAAAGCCUGACCCAGCAACGCCGCGUGAGGGAUGAAGUAUUUCGGUAUGUAAACCUCGAAAGAAUGGGAAGAAUAAAUGACGGUACCAUUUAUAAGCUCCGGCUAACUACGUGCCAGCAGCCGCGGUAAUACGUAGGGAGCAAGCGUUGUUCGGAUUCACUGGGCGUAAAGGGCGCGUAGACGGCGCGGUAAGUCACUUGUGAAAUCUCUGAGCUUAACUCAGAACGGCCAAGUGAUACUGCUGUGCUAGAGUGCGGAAGAGGCAACCGGAAUUCUUGGUGUAGCGGUGAAAUGCGUAGAUAUCAAGAGGAACACCUGAGGCGAAGGCGGGUUGCUGGGCCGACACUGACGUUGAUGCGCGAAAGCCAGGGGAGCAAACG